This is a long non-coding RNA of Tripterygium wilfordii, 711 nucleotides long. RefSeq lists it as uncharacterized. Lineage: Eukaryota; Viridiplantae; Streptophyta; Magnoliopsida; Celastrales; Celastraceae. The transcript is spliced from 3 exons. The record is from RefSeq and is a predicted model, not a curated record.
GUUUCUACAUAUUUCCUCUGGAAGAAUAAAACCCAAUUAAUGAGUUCAGAAUUUUUCUAUUGUCAAAGACAAAAGGGAUAAAGAUGGAUUCUGUGCCCAAAGUUUUAUACUUAAAUGUGAAAAUUUUCUCUUUAUCUCUCCCCGGACAAUAUAUUCUUCCAACUUUCCUUCCAAGUUUUCCUGUAUAUAUGUAUCAGCGUCAUAUUGCAUAAACCCACAAAUCCAAUCUUCAAACCAGUCAUCUCUGCCUAUCUGGUAAGCUGAGAUAGGAGAUAGAAUCCUGCGUCCACCACUGCCAGAGCGGAAUUUUCUCAAGGGAUGCCUUGCAUGCAGGCUUGCAGCUAGCUUUAUGUUGUUGUUGGCUCUCUGAGUGUUCCGACUCUCUUAUUCGUCGCAUCAAUUGAUGUUUUACUGAAUGCGUACAUGUUUUUAUAUAUAAAUGUUAGCUUCUGAUACACAGAUGUAUAUUACUAGACUCCAUGUAUUUAAGGUUGAGUGGUGAAUGGAAUGAAGUUUGUGGUGUAGGAGAGAUUUUUUUUUUAUGCAUUUGAGGUUGGGAAUUAAUGUCUGUUGUGAUGAAGAAGUUGAGUGAUGUUCAAGUGAACUAAUAUGCUCAACAAAAAGCCAUUAGUACUGCUAUAAACAAAGCUAGUAGUAUCAGACACACAAUACACAAAGAGGAAAGAAAAUCUUGCAGAUCGAGUUAGGGUU